Molecule: long non-coding RNA, 2504 nt
Organism: Pezoporus occidentalis (night parrot)
Lineage: Eukaryota; Metazoa; Chordata; Aves; Psittaciformes; Psittacidae
Exons: 2
Source: RefSeq, a predicted model, not a curated record
CUGUAUGUAGGGGUUUUGUUUUACACUGUUUAAUUACACUGACAUUCUUUAUUGUGUAUGCAGUGCACUGAUGGGGAAGUUAGUGGAGCUGUAAUGAUGAGAUUGGUGUUGGUUUGGGGGGCAAGGGUGAGGUUUGCGUGCUUGAGAGCACAAACAGAGCGUGCUAUUAUGCAACUGUGUAGAGGGGAUGUGGUCCACACAUUGUGUUCAGUCCUACUGCUGAUGCUGGAGCUGUUCAUCGCUGCUUUCAUCAGUAACCUUGCAGUUGCUGUGAUAAUGCAUAAACGUGAGGAUGUAUUUAUUCCUUAUCAGUUUGCUGUAGCAAAAGACUGGAAUUCGCUUUGGUAGUCUGGAAAAAAUAUCAGGAUGGUCGUUGUUAUGACGCCUGUGGAAGAACAAAGUUGUCAGGGCCAUGGGAAUCACAACAGUGUCACAGCACCAAGGCUCUUCUGACAAGCAUGGAUGGAGGGGCUUCAGGCAUGCAUGGGAAACAGAUAUGACUGCCUUGCUAACUUUUAACACAAGAAAUAGGAUACAGGGUAGCUAAGACUACUAGGAAUCCUUUCGUAACUUGAAAAAAAUUGCUGCUUUUGUGUCAAAACUUCCCUAUCUAAACAAGUUUUGUUUUUUUUUUCCUGCACUUUUCUUUGAGUAAAUGUGUAUGCACAUAUGCUCUUCCCCCCCUGCCCCCUUUCCUUUUAGAUAUGAUCUUUCAUUGUAGGCAUUUUGCCAGAAAGGUUUGUUUCAGAUCCCCUGUAGUCUGUUUGAAGUGGUGUUCUCAGGCUUGCAGAAGUAAGUAGUACAGCAGUUGCAAGCCAUUAAAUUUCCCAGUGCUCUUGAGGGAAUGAGAUUAGACCCUAAAUUUAAAGGCAAGUUUUAAGAUUCUUUGCUUCAAACCCUUUGAGGUAGUGCAAUGUGCAACUCAAAAGACUUAAGAUUCAUUCAAGCCAAAGUUAAAAAAUAUAAGGAUAUAUAUAUCUUUUAUAUAUGUAUGCACAUAUAUAUAUGUGCAUAUAUAUAGACAAACAUGCAAACGAAAUGUCAGUGGCAUGCUGUACUAUAAAUAAGAAAAUACUUUAACCUUUCAUUAGAGCAGCUGUUUCCUUGCACUUGAAGCAACAUCUGCUUGACUGAUUUAAGGAUUUAUUUUGAGCUUCUGCUUGUAUUUGGUGAUUCAGUUUAUUAUUUUUAAAAUUAAAAUAUUCCUCCUGCGUUUUACACAUACUUUGUCAUAUACCCAUAAAAUUAUCCGUUUAUCUUAAUGUGCCUUUUAUAUAUCAUAGUAGGACUAUAAGAAAUGCUCCUCAGCAACAAAAAAAUGUAGAACUAUGAAGUUAUCUGUCUUGGGGAGUUGGAGAGGGGGAAGAAGGAACUGACACUUUUUAUCUUUUCCUGUUGCUUAUACUGUCCAUUAGCUGCAGAAGUACAACUUAAUCAAAUUUUACAGGAAGCUGAGUUAGUUUUGAUUAUUUCUCUGUGAUAUUCUUCUUUCUGUAUUCACUGGUAAUCCCAAAACUCAGUAGUGAGGAUAAAAAGAAAUGUGUCCCCUUAAUAUUAUGCUAUCUGAAAAAUGACUUCAGUUCGAUAUUAAUGCUGUGCCGUAACCAUAUUUUAAGUGCUGAGCAGGACUAAUCUUCUGGGUUUUUUUUAAUCAUCUCCUUAUAGGAUCCAGAUCAGACAGUACUAGGGAGCUGAUGGUUUGGUGUUCUGUCUGCUGCCUAGGAAAGUGUUAUGAUCUUCAAAAGAGAUAAUCCCAACCACGGAUAAGCUACACACAGAUGACGGAUAAGAAAUCCUUAGGUAGCCUGCACAAAAUCAGAGUUGGGGUAACUACUUGGCCAGAGGGAGCAAGGUGAGGGGGCCAGUUAGAGUAGAGGAAGUGGAUGCAGGGGGAUUGGAGUGAGAGGCAGAUUGGCUACUUGUGAUGAAGCUUCUCACUGCUACUGCCUACAGCAGGCACUGCUGCUGGGUAUUUGGGGUUGUUUGGUUUGUUUGUUUCUUAAACAGGCAGCCCAUUCCCAAGUACAAUAACAGUUUGUGGUGCUUUCUGAACCUCUUGAAUUUUUGGCACUCUGCUGGUUUUGUAAUGAGAUGCGUUAAUGCUUAAAGGAUAAUUAAAGAUAAUGAGGUAUAGAGAAAGUGGAACGCAGUGCAGCCUCUGAAAGGCAGAGCUUGGCAAGCUGACUUUUGACGAAAAAACCCUUAUUUUCUACAUAGACAUUUUUGUCGUUUCAUCUGAAUAUGUACACAGUAAGUGAUGUGGUGCUCUAUUGCAAACUGCUGGCUAAAUAGGAGAAAUUGCGAUCUAGUAGAGAAAUUGUUUGGAAGGGCCUAAGAUAAAGGACCUAGCUGAGGGGAGGGAAACAAGCUCAGAGCUUCUUAGUGGAAUCAUUAUAGAUCAGUUGUCAGAUCAGUCUUGCAUUAUCUGAUUCAUCUAAUGACAAAGGUAUAUGUAAAGGGAUCUUGCUGCUAGAAUUUGAUGACAUGAAGAUGAAAAAGUACUC